Varanus komodoensis (Komodo dragon) is the source of this 134-nucleotide small nucleolar RNA. NCBI's taxonomy places the organism in Eukaryota, Metazoa, Chordata, Lepidosauria, Squamata, Varanidae. The record is from Ensembl.
UUGCAAACUCGAUCACUGGCUCUGCAUGCUGUGGCAGAAGCAAGGGGAACAGGUUUGCUAAAGAGAUUAUGGUAAAAGAACAAUACUGGCCUUAGAAAUAGUAUUAAGGCUGUUGAUUCUGUGCCAUAACAAUU